CGGACGGGUGAGUAAUGUAUGGGGAUCUGCCCGAUGGAGGGGGAUAACUACUGGAAACGGUAGCUAAUACCGCAUAACGUCGCAAGACCAAAGAGGGGGACCUUCGGGCCUCUUGCCAUCGGAUGUGCCCAGAUGGGAUUAGCUAGUAGGUGGGGUAACGGCUCACCUAGGCGACGAUCCCUAGCUGGUCUGAGAGGAUGACCAGCCACACUGGAACUGAGACACGGUCCAG
RNAcentral lists this ribosomal RNA (232 nucleotides) under uncultured bacterium. RNAcentral describes it as "partial 16S ribosomal RNA". It matches the Rfam family "Bacterial small subunit ribosomal RNA", at positions 99 to 334 of the family's 1533-position model. The record is from RNAcentral.